This 982-nucleotide ribosomal RNA is filed under the name Bifidobacterium dentium. RNAcentral's name for it is "bacterial LSU rRNA". It matches the Rfam family "Bacterial large subunit ribosomal RNA", at positions 1074 to 1933 of the family's 2925-position model. The record is from RNAcentral. Lineage: Bacteria; Bacillati; Actinomycetota; Actinomycetes; Bifidobacteriales; Bifidobacteriaceae.
UGUGGGGCCGCAUAGACAGCCAGGAGGUUGGCUCAGAAGCAGCCAUCCUUGAAAGAGUGCGUAACAGCUCACUGGUCUAGUGGUCCCGCGCCGACAAUGUAGCGGGGCUCAAGCACACCACCGAAGACGCGGCGGCGCGUGUAUGCGCGCCGGGUAGGAGAGCGUCCUGCAAGGGGCGAAGCGGCGGCGUGAGCCGGCCGUGGACUUUGCGGGAGUGAGAAUGCAGACAUGAGUAGCGAGAGACGGGUGAGGAUCCCGUCCGCCGGAUGACCAAGGGUUCCGGGGCCACGUUCGUCGUCCCCGGGUGAGUCGGGUCCUAAGGCGAGGCCGACAGGCGUAGUCGAAUGGAUGAACGGGUGGAUAUUCCCGUACCGGCAGCGAACCGACAGGACCGAGGCGGUGAGUACUAACCUCCGUCGCGGGCCGUUCCCCUCCUUCGGGUGGGGUCCGGCGCGUGGCGUUGGGAGCGUAGCCGUGGUAGGUGAGCGCAGGGGUGACACGGAAUGGGAGCCGGCCGCGGAGGUGGUUUUCCGUGGUCAAGCACGCAGCCAGUCGCAUAGGCAAAUCCGUGCGGCGUGUAUGGCGAGGUGCGAUGAUGGGAGCCGUUUCGGCUCGAUAUCCGGUGGUCCAGGCCGUCGAGAAAAGCCCCGGCGUCAGGCGCGUUGCCGCCCGUACCCCAAACCGACACUGGUGGUCAGGUAGAGAAUACCAAGGCGAUCGAGCGAAUCCUGGUCAAGGAACUCGGCAAACCGCUCCCGUGCCUUCGGCAUAAGGGAGACCCCCGCGGGUGAACGGACAUGCUCCGGGAGCGUGUGGGGGUGGCACAGACCAGGGGGUAGCGACUGUUUACCAAAAACACAGGUGCAUGCGAAGGCGUAAGCCGCUGUAUAUGCACUGACGCCUGCCCGGUGCCGGAAGGUUAAGAGGAUCCGUCAGCCCCUUCGGGGGUGAAGCGGUGAAUUCAAGCCCCGGUAAACGGCGG